Molecule: ribosomal RNA, 464 nt
Filed under: uncultured bacterium
Lineage: Bacteria
Description: partial 16S ribosomal RNA
Rfam family: Bacterial small subunit ribosomal RNA
Source: RNAcentral
CUACGGGGCGCUGCAGUGGGGAAUAUUGCACAAUGGGCGCAAGCCUGAUGCAGCCAUGCCGCGUGUAUGAAGAAGGCCUUCGGGUUGUAAAGUACUUUCAGCGGGGAGGAAGGGAGUAAAGUUAAUACCUUUGCUCAUUGACGUUACCCGCAGAAGAAGCACCGGCUAACUCCGUGCCAGCAGCCGCGAUAAUACGGAGGGUGCAAGCGUUAAUCGGAAUUACUGGGCGUAAAGCGCACGCAGGCGGUUUGUUAAGUCAGAUGUGAAAUCCCCGGGCUCAACCUGGGAACUGCAUCUGAUACUGGCAAGCUUGAGUCUCGUAGAGGGGGGUAGAAUUCCAGGUGUAGCGGUGAAAUGCGUAGAGAUCUGGAGGAAUACCAGUGGCGAAGGCGGCCCCCUGGACGAAGACUAACGCUCAGGUGCGAAAGCGUGGGGAGCAAACAGGAUUAGAUACCCCCGUAGUC